This 404-nucleotide ribosomal RNA is filed under the name uncultured bacterium. Its description in RNAcentral is "bacterial SSU rRNA". It matches the Rfam family "Bacterial small subunit ribosomal RNA", at positions 28 to 426 of the family's 1533-position model. The record is from RNAcentral.
GACGAACGCUGGCGGCGUGCCUAACACAUGCAAGUCGAACGGGGUCCAUGGGAGCUUGCUCCCGGAAGACCUAGUGGCGAACGGGUGAGUAACGCGUGAGAAACCUGCCCUGGAGUGGGGAAUAACUCGGGGAAACUCGAGCUAAUACCGCAUACCCUCGGAUGGUCGCAUGGCCGACCGAGGAAAGAUUUAUCGCUUCAGGAGGGUCUCGCGGCCUAUCAGCUAGUUGGUGGGGUAACGGCCUACCAAGGCAACGACGGGUAGCUGGUUUGAGAGAACGAUCAGCCACACUGGGACUGAGACACGGCCCAGACUCCUACGGGAGGCAGCAGUGGGGAAUCUUGCGCAAUGGGCGAAAGCCUGACGCAGCAACGCCGCGUGCGGGAUGACGGCCUCGUGGUUGU